This 350-nucleotide ribosomal RNA is filed under the name uncultured bacterium. Its description in RNAcentral is "partial 16S ribosomal RNA". It matches the Rfam family "Bacterial small subunit ribosomal RNA", at positions 338 to 685 of the family's 1533-position model. The record is from RNAcentral.
CCUACGGGAGGCAGCAGUGAGGAAUAUUGGUCAAUGGACGCAAGUCUGAACCAGCCAUGCCGCGUGCAGGAUGACGGCUCUAUGAGUUGUAAACUGCUUUUGUACGAGGGUAAACCCCGAUACGUGUAUCGGGUUGAAAGUAUCGUACGAAUAAGGAUCGGCUAACUCCGUGCCAGCAGCCGCGGUAAUACGGAGGAUCCGAACAUUAUCCGGAUUUAUUGGGUUUAAAGGGUGCGUAGGCGGUUUGUUAAGUUAGAGGUGAAAUGUGGGGGCUCAACCCCGGAACUGCCUCUAAUACUGUAAAACUAGAGGAUAGGAUAGGUAUGCAGAAUGUAUGGUGUAGCGGUGAA